Molecule: long non-coding RNA, 3592 nt
Organism: Rattus norvegicus (Norway rat)
Lineage: Eukaryota; Metazoa; Chordata; Mammalia; Rodentia; Muridae
Source: RefSeq, a predicted model, not a curated record
CUUGCUGAGCUGGGGGUGAAACAGUAACCUUAGACCAAGAGCGACACCCCACAGAAAAGGGACUUUGCCCGCCCUAACAUGUUAUGUCCAGACUCCUCCUUUCAGGAAAAAAAAUUCCUUCUUUGCUUAACUCAUGGUCUGGAUAGUUCCAUGCCAUUGAACACCAUAGCAGCAGAUAUGCUGUUCUUUCAGAAGACGAGGCUAAAAAUUAUUCUAGGUGCCUUAAAGGGCGUUUGCAGGGAGAGGGGUUUUCCCAAGCAUCAGAAAUGACAGGUUUUGAGUUUAAUCUUAGCUAGUUACGUUAGCCAGUGUUCUCAUAUACGUUUGUGAAUUUAAGCUUUGUAAGUCAAAAGCUAUCAUAAAAAAAGGCCCAUGAUGCAUAGUGUGGGGCAUAUAAAAAGUGAUUUAUCAUCAAUCAUGGGCAUCUAGUUUCCACCCUCUACCAAAGUUUCCUCUAGCAGAACUCAACUUCACAUAUUUUUAUAAACUGGGGACAGGACUCGUUCCAAGAUAUGGUUGAAGGGAAGGUUUUUAUUGUAGGUAUGAAGGAGAGAACAUCCAGAACCAUCUGGAAGAAUCCAGAGCGGAGAGAGAAAGCAGUACACUGACUAUGGACAUGCUCAGACUAGGCCUUGCAAGAAAAGAGCUGGCAAGAAGAGGGGAUGGGGAGGAAAGAGGAGGAGACAAAGAGAGGGCCAAGAGAGGGGCAAAGGAGCUCAACGAUAGCAGGAAUGGCAGGGUUAUGAGGAGAAAUGAGUAGCUGGGGGCGGGGCAAGAUCCUGUGGCGGUAAAGCGUGCACGGUACAGGAGCAGGUAGGAAGAGCUAGGAUGCUAGCAUAGACUCUGAAAUGUGUAACAGGUACUGUGAUCCUGAGGGAGCCUGGAGGCCAGCACGUGCUUUGGUGCUGAUAGGCACCACAGAUGGGCACUUGUCCCUCUGCCAGUGAUAAGGAAAGUGGUUCCUUUGUUAGAGAGGAACAAGCCUUACAAGUUCUGAUGGAAUGCUGGCUUCUGUCUAAUCACCAGAAUGUGGGAGGGUGGACUCUCCUUUGGACCUGACAAUAUUCAUUUCCCAGUUUCAUUCCUUAGACAACUGCUUAUUCAGAUUCUAAAUGUUUUUGCCACAGCAAGUUUCAUUGCACAGUCCCAGUACCUUUUAUUUAUGUGUCUGUCUGUGUCUGUGUCUGUGUCUGUGUCUGUGUCUGUGUCUGUGACUAUGUUCUCUGUGUCUGUGUCUGUGUCGUCUGUGUCUGUCUAUGUUUGUGUCUGCCUCAUGUGUGGGUGCCUGUGGAAACCAGAAGAAGGCAUCUGAUUCUCUGGAGCAGUGGUUACAAGCAAUUGUGAGCUUCCUGAUGUGGGUGGCAGAUCCACUGGAAGAGCAGCAAGUGCUCUUAACUACUGAGCCAUCUGUCUAGCCCUUGCCUAGCAUCUUGCCUUGGGCAGGGAAGUAGCGCUGUGACGAAACACGGUGACCAAAACAAGAGAGGGUUCAUCUGGCUCACGUUUCCAUAUCACUGUUCAUAAUCAAAGGAAGUCAGGGUAGGUACUCAAGCAGGGCAGGAACUGAUGCGGAAGCCAUGGAGGGGUGCUGCUUACUGGUGUAACUGCCAUAGCUUGCUCUGCCUGCUCUCUUGUGGAACCCAGGGCCAUCAGCCCAGGGAUGGCACCACUUCCAGUGGACUGGGCUCUCCACCACCAAUCACUAUUUAGAAAAUGUCCUACAGGCUUGACAACAGCCUGAUCUUUCAUAGAAGCAUUUCUCAAUGAAGGCUUCCUCCUCUGAUGACUCUAACCUGUGUCAAGCUGACAUAAAACUAACCAGGACACAUCUUAUUUCUUCAUUUCCUAGACGCUCUACCAAAAACAUGCUGUAGUUUGGUCAGCCAUGAAUCAUUACUGGUUUAACAGGCAAACUGCAAAUAUCUAUUUGACUUGUGGGUUUUUUUUUUUUUAGUGUGUGUGUGUGUGUGUGUGUGUGUGUGUGUGUGUGCGCGCGCGCGCGCACGCACAUGCAUAUGUGUGUGUCCUGGCACCCACGCAGGCACACAUGGAGGCCAGAGGUGGAUGGUAUGGUGGAGUCUUACUGUCGUUCUCUGCUAUGCUAGAGCUUGCCACUUUGUUUUUAGCUAAACCAAUAGUGAAUGAGCCCCAGAGCUGGAGAUUCAGGGUGAACAUCCUUGCCUGGCUUUUGUUUGAGUGCUGGGAUCUGAACUCAGCUCCUUGUGUAACAAGCACUGCUACUCACUAAGCCAUCUUCACAGCCACUGUAGCGCGCGCUCUCUCUCUCUCUCUCUCCUCUCUCUCUCUCUCUCUCUCUCUCUCUCUCCCUCCUUCCCUCCUUUUCUUCCUUCCUUUUUCUUUUCUGCUUGCUUUCCUUCCUUCCUUCCCUUUUGGUUUGCUUUUCGUUGUUUUUCAUUGUUUUUUGUUUUAUUUUGUUAUUGUUGUUUUUGGUUUGUUUGUUCAUUUUUGAGGCAGGGUUUCUCUGUCUAGUCCUGGCUAUCCUGGAACUCACUCUGUAGACCAGGCUGGCCUUCACCUCAGAGCUCGACCCAUCUCUGCCUCCUGAGUGCUGGGAUUAUAGAUGUUUGCCACCACCACCCAGCUGUAGCUCUUCCUUAAGUCUGAAACUCUAACAUCAUCAGUGUCUGUAGGUUUAUAUUUUAAUUGCUAAUGAUAUUUUAGUGGUCCACAAUCAUCUUUUUUUUUAAAUUGAAGCUGAAUAACAUUAAAAUUUUAUGUGAUUAACUUCGUUUUUAUUGUUGUUGUCGUUGAUGCUGUUCAUUUGUUCAUUGAGCUUCAGCCCAGAGCAUGUUGGGCACCACUUGGCUUUUGUUUUCCAGAUUUAUUUACCGUUGUUACACGCGUGUUUUGCUACAUGCAUGUCUGUGUACUACAUGCAUGCAUUGGACACAGAGGCCAGAAGAGGGUAUCUGCAUCUGAUAGCCAUGCUAGGCUCCUGUCUGCAAGCACACCACAGCCUCAGUAACAGCGUCAGAGCCCCAGGCCUCCCUUUGAGCUGGAUCCUAAUUUGGGCCUGUCACUGGACCUCUUUUAGACUCAACUCUUUAGUGCAAGGGUCGCAGCAGGCAGCCAGUGAACCUAGACCUCUGAGGAGUAAUAGGCACACCUCUGAGGAGACCCCUGGGCAAUGACAGCGGCAGACAUUAAACACAGCCGGCUGAGCACUGAAGCAGCCCAGCAUCCUCUGGAGAGGGAACAAAAACGUGCUACAAAAGUCAAGACUCAGCCGUUAGCCUGGGUCCAGGGAUCUGUCGCUGCAGAAGGCACAGGAACCAGCUGGUGCUGAGUCUUGUGAAAUCUGGGAAAAAUGGUUUCAAUCCAUGAAAAGAAGCCUUGCUCAGCCUCUAGACGCACUGAUCCGUGGGAUUUACUUCAAAUCAUCCAAAAAGAAAAACAGAAAAAAAGAAAAAAAUCAGAUAAACCAAGAGGGUUCCGUGUGAAGCAGAAUGGGUCAUUCAUUCAAGAUGGUUGUUGAAGCUGGGUUGUGGGUACACUCGAGUUCUUUAUACUACUUUGUGAAUAUGUUAAAUUUUCACCAGAGUAAAAUCAGGAAAACUUUCUGCUGAGGGAA